Long non-coding RNA from Mandrillus leucophaeus (drill), 693 nucleotides. RefSeq lists it as uncharacterized. Lineage: Eukaryota; Metazoa; Chordata; Mammalia; Primates; Cercopithecidae. The transcript is spliced from 2 exons. The record is from RefSeq and is a predicted model, not a curated record.
GUUUAGCUUCACAGCAUAGUUGAAAGUUGCCAGACUGAACAUUGUGCAAUAAAGUAGAAUUCUAUAUUGAUAAGGGAACUGAUUUCCAAACUAAAAUUUGAUAGAUAAAAGUAUUAUUAAUCAAAUGAUGAUAUGAUCAGAGUAAAGAAUUUUGCCAUUUUAAGUCUUUUGUUUUAGCCACCUGUAGUCUUACCAACCAUCUUUAUCCUUGUCUGCAGGGAUAAUAAUAACCUAAUGUAGUGUUUUAAGAUAAUUUAAUGAUACUAUCUUUCCAAAGUUUGUUAGAUUUUAAAUGUAUUAUUGAGCUGAGGCCGGAGAAUUGCUUGAACCCGGGAGGCAGAAGUUGCAGUGACCCAAGAUCGUGCACUUCACUCCAGCCUGGGCAAAAGAGCAAAACUCCGUCUCAAAAAAUAUACAUACAUAUGGUGAUAAAGUUUCCCAUUUUCCAAUGCAGCUUCACAUUUGAACAACUCUAAUUGAUACAGCUUUAUGGCAGGGUUUUAGCGUGUGAGUGGGAUCCAAAACACUCAAUCCUGUAAAAGGGUACAGUCCUGUUGUACAUUAACACACUGAUGAUGUGAGCCUAUGAGAUGAGCCAAUUACCAAUUAUGUUAUAUUCGAAUCUGCUUUGUGUUGGGAUACUUUAAUGUAGGGUUUCAGUAAAUAAAUGAAUUUUCAUAUACUGAACUGAAA